This 464-nucleotide ribosomal RNA is filed under the name uncultured Klebsiella sp. RNAcentral's name for it is "bacterial SSU rRNA". It matches the Rfam family "Bacterial small subunit ribosomal RNA", at positions 338 to 795 of the family's 1533-position model. The record is from RNAcentral. Lineage: Bacteria; Pseudomonadati; Pseudomonadota; Gammaproteobacteria; Enterobacterales; Enterobacteriaceae.
CCUACGGGAGGCUGCAGUGGGGAAUAUUGCACAAUGGGCGCAAGCCUGAUGCAGCCAUGCCGCGUGUGUGAAGAAGGCCUUCGGGUUGUAAAGCACUUUCAGCGGGGAGGAAGGCGUUAAGGUUAAUAACCUUGGCGAUUGACGUUACCCGCAGAAGAAGCACCGGCUAACUCCGAGCCAGCAGCCGCGGUAAUACGGAGGGUGCAAGCGUUAAUCGGAAUUACUGGGCGUAAAGCGCACGCAGGCGGUCUGUCAAGUCGGAUGUGAAAUCCCCGGGCUCAACCUGGGAACUGCAUUCGAAACUGGCAGGCUAGAGUCUUGUAGAGGGGGGUAGAAUUCCAGGUGUAGCGGUGAAAUGCGUAGAGAUCUGGAGGAAUACCGGUGGCGAAGGCGGCCCCCUGGACAAAGACUGACGCUCAGGUGCGAAAGCGUGGGGAGCAAACAGGAUAGAUACCCUAGUAGUC